AUUGAACGCUGGCGGCAUGCUUUACACAUGCAAGUCGAACGGUAACAGGGAGCUUGCUCCGCUGACGAGUGGCGAACGGGUGAGUAAUGCGUCGGAACGCACCGAGUAAUGGGGAUAACGCAGCGAAAGCUGUGCUAAUACCGCAUACGCUCUGAGGAGGAAAGCGGGGGAUCUUAGGACCUCGCGUUAUUCGAGCGGCCGACGUCUGAUUAGCUAGUAGGUGAGGUAAGAGCUCACCUAGGCGACGAUCAGUAGCGGGUCUGAGAGGAUGAUCCGCCACACUGGGACUGAGACACGGCCCAGACUCCUACGGGAGGCAGCAGUGGGGAAUUUUGGGCAAUGGGCGCAAGCCUGAUCCAGCCAUGCCGCGUGUCUGAAGAAGGCCUUCGGGUUGUAAGGACUUUGUCUAGGGAGGAAAGUACCUUAGCGUUAAUACCGCUGAGGAGUGACAGUACCUGAAGAAUAAGACACCGG
Molecule: ribosomal RNA, 474 nt
Filed under: uncultured bacterium
Lineage: Bacteria
Description: bacterial SSU rRNA
Rfam family: Bacterial small subunit ribosomal RNA
Source: RNAcentral